UACGGAAGGCAGCAGUGGGGAAUAUUGCACAAUGGGCGCAAGCCUGAUGCAGCCAUGCCGCGUGUAUGAAAAAGGCCUUCGGGUUGUAAAGUACUUUCAGUCGUGAGGAAGGUGUUAAGGUUAAUAACCUUAGCAAUUGACGUUAGCGACAGAAGAAGCACCGGCUAACUCCGUGCCAGCAGCCGCGGUAAUACGGAGGGUGCGAGCGUUAAUCGGAAUUACUGGGCGUAAAGGGCACGCAGGCGGUUAAUUAAGUUGGAUGUGAAAUCCCGGGGCUUAACCUGGGAAUGGCAUUCAAGACUGGUUAGCUAGAGUCUUGUAGAGGGGGUAGAAUUCCAUGUGUAGCGGUGAAAUGCGUAGAGAUGUGGAGGAAUACCGGUGGCGAAGGCGGCCCCUGGACAAAGACUGACGCUCAUGUGCGAAAGCGUGGGGAGCAAACG
Molecule: ribosomal RNA, 440 nt
Filed under: uncultured bacterium
Lineage: Bacteria
Description: bacterial SSU rRNA
Rfam family: Bacterial small subunit ribosomal RNA
Source: RNAcentral